AUACUGACUUGAUCGUUGGAGGGUCCCUUGUCGGAAACCCCCCAUUAGUUCCUUCAAUGCGUGGACUUUCCUUGCAAGUACUCAGAGAGCAUGCCCGACGUCCCCUACUCUAGCCUGGUGACUCCGUGCAGCACCACGCAUGCCACUUGGUUGGAGAGGCAUAGUAACAGAAUCCAUACCUCAAAUUCAGCCAAUUGGUACCUACCAAGGAUUUUGAUAAAUGAAUUAAGAAUUUGCAAUG
This 241-nucleotide long non-coding RNA is filed under the name Elaeis guineensis (African oil palm). RNAcentral's name for it is "long non-coding RNA (EGUI_LNC024224)". The record is from RNAcentral. Lineage: Eukaryota; Viridiplantae; Streptophyta; Magnoliopsida; Arecales; Arecaceae.